This 252-nucleotide ribosomal RNA is filed under the name uncultured Spirochaetaceae bacterium. RNAcentral's name for it is "partial 16S ribosomal RNA". It matches the Rfam family "Bacterial small subunit ribosomal RNA", at positions 1131 to 1382 of the family's 1533-position model. Lineage: Bacteria; Pseudomonadati; Spirochaetota; Spirochaetia; Spirochaetales; Spirochaetaceae. The record is from RNAcentral.
CUGAGGACUCUGGCGGAACUGCCGGUGACAAACCGGAGGAAGGUGGGAAUGACGUCAAGUCAUCAUGGCCCCUAUGUCCAGGGCUACACACGUGCUACAAUGGGCGAUACAGAGUGACGCGAAGCCGCGAGGUGGAGCAAAUCGCAGAAAAUCGCUCUCAGUUCGGAUUGGAGUCUGAAACCCGACUCCAUGAAGGUGGAAUCGCUAGUAAUCGCGCAUCAGCAUGGCGCGGUGAAUACGUUCCCGGGCCUU